ACGAACGCUGGCGGCAUGCCUAACACAUGCAAGUCGAACGAGAUUAUUGACUUCGGUUGAUAGUCUAGUGGCGCACGGGUGCGUAACGCGUGGGAAUCUACCCUUGGGUUCGGAAUAACAGUGAGAAAUUACUGCUAAUACCGGAUGAUGACGUAAGUCCAAAGAUUUAUCGCCCAGGGAUGAGCCCGCGUAAGAUUAGCUAGUUGGUGGGGUAAAGGCCUACCAAGGCUACGAUCUUUAGCUGGUCUGAGAGGAUGAUCAGCCACACUGGGACUGAGACACGGCCCAGACUCCUACGGGAGGCAGCAGUGGGGAAUAUUGGACAAUGGGCGAAAGCCUGAUCCAGCAAUGCCGCGUGAGUGAUGAAGGCCUUAGGGUUGUAAAGCUCUUUUACCAGGGAUGAUAAUGACAGUACCUGGAGAAUAAGCUCCGGCUAACUCCGU
This 443-nucleotide ribosomal RNA is filed under the name uncultured bacterium. Its description in RNAcentral is "bacterial SSU rRNA". It matches the Rfam family "Bacterial small subunit ribosomal RNA", at positions 29 to 506 of the family's 1533-position model. The record is from RNAcentral.